AGUACCCAAAAGCCGAAUAGAAACGAAGAACCGACUCUCAAGAUUACAUAAAUUUUACUCUCAGAAGUUACAGAGCUCUCUCUCUCAGAAACCCAAAUUUUCCUAAACCCUAACCCCCGUCGCUCCCCAAAAUCGUAGCUUCCCUACAAAACCCGCAUUGCGAAACCCUAAUUCGUCGUUCUCGUUGGCAAUGACGAAGGUGUACGGAACAGGCGCGUACGAUUUCAAGCGCCACCAUGUUACCGAGUACCGGGUGGAGCUGAGCCACCAGCUCGGAGAGAAGCCUCCACCGAAGCCGGUGGAGGCUAAACCCGGUGCGGCGCUGCCGAGCUCGAUAACGCUGUCGGAGAUUGAGAGGGACCAGCUCACUAUGAUUGCCGCUGCCAAUUGGUCCAAAGCCGGCGGGCAGGUGAAGAAGGCGUUCGACGCGGAGCUGGUGAAGAAGAUUUACGAGACAAUUACUGUGGAAUAAUGGAAUAUGUUGAGAUUUAUACCUAUUGGAAGUCUUAUGAUUUUUCUUUGUUAUAAAAGCUGGACCUUUCAGAAUUUGUGUCAUAUUUCUUUUUUUCCUUUGUUUCUACAUAAACAUUGCUGUUGUUGCAGGUACUUGAGGCCACUUGUUGCUGAUGUUGCUGUUGUUCCGAAAUGCCACUUGAGUGCUUUGUAUAUACAUGAAAAGGGGAAGCUCUUUACCCAACUCGUUGACUUGCUGCAGUUUUAUGAAGGAUUUGAGAUUAAUGAUGAUGUGGGGAAACAAUUGACGGAUGAUGAUGUGCUCCAAUCUCAUUAUGAUCGCGUACAAUCUUUUCAGCUGCUUGCUUUUAAAAAGAUUCCUAAGUUGCAACAGCUUGCAUUGGUUCAAUUGACAACCGAAAUGAUCUCUGUGAAAGAUUGUCUGUACUUUCCCCUGAAGAAUUGAAGGAUUUGGUUUGUUCCAAGGCAUAUGAUAAAAGGGAAGAGUCAAGAAGCUUUCAUUGCAUUUAGAGAAGCAUUGGAGUUCAAAUGAAACAGCUAUCAACUGUGGGGAAACUACAGCCAUGUUGCUUUAGAUGUUGGCAAUGUUGCUCAGGCAA
Molecule: long non-coding RNA, 1073 nt
Organism: Rosa rugosa (rugosa rose)
Lineage: Eukaryota; Viridiplantae; Streptophyta; Magnoliopsida; Rosales; Rosaceae
Exons: 4
Source: RefSeq, a predicted model, not a curated record